AGUGAACGCUGGCGGUAGGCCUAACACAUGCAAGUCGAACGGCAGCACAGUAAGAGCUUGCUCUUACGGGUGGCGAGUGGCGGACGGGUGAGGAAUACAUCGGAAUCUACUUUUUCGUGGGGGAUAACGUAGGGAAACUUACGCUAAUACCGCAUACGACCUACGGGUGAAAGCAGGGGAUCUUCGGACCUUGCGCGAUUGAAUGAGCCGAUGUCGGAUUAGCUAGUUGGCGGGGUAAAGGCCCACCAAGGCGACGAUCCGUAGCUGGUCUGAGGGGAUGAUCAGCUACACUGGAACUGAGACACGGUCCAGAAUCCUACGGGAGGCAGCAGUGGGGAAUCUUGGAACAUGGGCGCAAGCCUGAUACAGCCAUACCGCGUGGGUGAAGAAGGACUUCGGGUUGUAAAGCCCUUUUGUUGGGAAAGAAAAGCAGCAGGUUAAUACCCAGCUGUUCUGACGGUACCCAAAGAAUAAGCACCGGCUAACUUCGUG
RNAcentral lists this ribosomal RNA (492 nucleotides) under uncultured bacterium. Its description in RNAcentral is "partial 16S ribosomal RNA". It matches the Rfam family "Bacterial small subunit ribosomal RNA", at positions 29 to 507 of the family's 1533-position model. The record is from RNAcentral.